Erythranthe guttata (spotted monkey flower) is the source of this 232-nucleotide non-coding RNA. NCBI's taxonomy places the organism in Eukaryota, Viridiplantae, Streptophyta, Magnoliopsida, Lamiales, Phrymaceae. The record is from RefSeq and is a predicted model, not a curated record.
CUCGAGAGUAAGGUGUUUUUGUAGCACUUGCAUUGGACUUCAGUGUCAGGUGCAUAAGUGGACGAUUGUGUUGACUGCACUUAGGAGUAAAGUUACUUGGAAGUUUUAUAGAGUUUAAUCAAGUAAUGUUGUAUUUAAGAAUGGUUGUAAUUCAAGAACUAUGUAUACGAGAUUAGUUGUAAGCUUUAAUUGCCACUUGUAUUUGAUUUUAAUGUUGAGUAGUUAAGUUGAA